This 66-nucleotide transfer RNA is filed under the name Xenophora japonica. RNAcentral describes it as "tRNA-His". It matches the Rfam family "tRNA". Rfam says of the family: Transfer RNA (tRNA) molecules are approximately 80 nucleotides in length. Their secondary structure includes four short double-helical elements and three loops (D, anti-codon, and T loops). The record is from RNAcentral. Lineage: Eukaryota; Metazoa; Mollusca; Gastropoda; Littorinimorpha; Xenophoridae.
GCUAAAUUAGUUUAAUUAAAAAUAUCAGCUUGUGGAUCUGAAGAUAAAAAUUUAUUUUAUUUAGCC